This is a small nuclear RNA of Trichosurus vulpecula (common brushtail), 107 nucleotides long. The record is from RefSeq and is a predicted model, not a curated record. NCBI's taxonomy places the organism in Eukaryota, Metazoa, Chordata, Mammalia, Diprotodontia, Phalangeridae.
GUGCUAUCUUCAGCAGCACAUAUACUAAAAUUGGAAUAAUACAGAGAAGAUUAGCAGGGCCUCUGUGAAAGGAUGGCAUGCAAAUUUGUGAUGCGUUCUCUACUUUU